Molecule: long non-coding RNA, 512 nt
Filed under: Cricetulus griseus (Chinese hamster)
Lineage: Eukaryota; Metazoa; Chordata; Mammalia; Rodentia; Cricetidae
Description: lncRNA (ENSCGRG00000026540.1)
Source: RNAcentral
GGCUGGCUGGAGGCAGAGAGGGCGAGCCAGGGCGGGGCUUGGCCUGACAGGCCCGAGCGGACCCGCCCCUUCGCGGUUGCCCCAGGAAAGAGCCUGAUUUGUUUGUUUGUUUGCUCAUAGCUUUUCCUUCUCCCAACUCCUCGCUCAUCCAGAAAUAGAGUCUUGCCCUAAAAUGUUACUUUUGAAGAUUUCAGCCAUCUUGAAUCAUGCAAGGUUAUCGCCAUGCCUCUUCUUCAUGCCUCCAGAUCCUUCAGCUCUGACGUUGGAUGGCAGCAACUAACAGCAGAGUCACUGAGAGGGAUGAGAUAGCUGAAUGCUUGGUACAUGAAACAAUGAAGAAGACCAUUGUCUUCUUGGUACAUGAAACAAUGAAGAAGACAAGUGUCCCAGUGGACAUUGCUGAUGAAAGAGGGUGGAGAUUGUCUACAGCGUGGAGUCUCCCAUGUGGCCAGUGGAAGUCCUCUGCCCAGUCAGACUUUGUGCGACAGAGGGAAGAAGAAGCAGCUCUAUAA